RNAcentral lists this ribosomal RNA (253 nucleotides) under uncultured bacterium. RNAcentral's name for it is "partial 16S ribosomal RNA". It matches the Rfam family "Bacterial small subunit ribosomal RNA", at positions 524 to 776 of the family's 1533-position model. The record is from RNAcentral.
UACGUAGGGGGCAAGCGUUGUCCGGAUUUACUGGGCGUAAGGCGCCUGUAGGCGGCUUGUCAAGUCCGGCCUGAAAGCCCCCGGCUCAACCGGGGAGGGUGGCUGGAAACUGGCAGGCUUGAGGGCGAGAGAGGAGGGUGGAAUUCCUGGUGUAGCGGUGAAAUGCGCAGAUAUCAGGAGGAACACCAAUGGCGAAGGCAGUGUCCUGGAGGGUGACUGACGCUGAGGCGCGAAAGCUAGGGGAGCGAACAGG